Molecule: long non-coding RNA, 1075 nt
Organism: Mastomys coucha (southern multimammate mouse)
Lineage: Eukaryota; Metazoa; Chordata; Mammalia; Rodentia; Muridae
Exons: 3
Source: RefSeq, a predicted model, not a curated record
GGCCGGACGCGCGCCGGUUGCUGGAGCGGGGCGGAGGGCGCUGCGCUGGCCCCGCCCCAGCCCGUUCCCUGGGCCGCUUCCAACGCGUGGGAGCAGUCAGCCCUUCAGUGCAAAGCCAAACUUUUUUGGGAUAAAAGUCUUAGCACAGUCCGAAUGUGACUGCUCAGUGUUUGCAAUAAGAACCUCGAAAGAAGAAUAUCCCAGAAGUCUAGGGGAAAUAGUCGUGCUGGGUACUUCAAAAUAACACGUGAUUGGGUUCAGUUGUAUAAAUUACAACUUAAAGGCAAGUUGUGGUUACGUUUCAGUGCCUGCAACAGUUUAUAAACUUCCUAAACGAAGCAGCCUUGAAGAUCUUCUUUGCUCCUGCCUUCUGCCUUUCAGUUCCUUUUCUUUUUGCUAUUUAAAAUUCGCUGACUUAAACAACUGUUUCUACACUGGAAGCACAGAUGCUUGUUCUUAUGCCAAGGGAGCUCAUAAUCAUCCCAGCAUUUGUAGAAAUCAAAUCAGACUCUGCACUGAAUCUUUUCCAUCUGUUGGUGGGGGGGCAAUCUAGAUGACAAAGUAAAGCCAGGACUACUGAAGACCCCAAAUUGCACAAGGGAAUACAGACGUAAAGAGAGAUUAUAAAGAGCUGUGUAAAAUCAGAUACAAAAGUUUGUAUAUUAGAAAGAAAAAUAAACCUGUGGUCAGGAACAUGGAUUGAAGCCAAGCCUAGAAGACAUAGGGGCAUCUUCCAAACUGUGGAGACAAGAAACACAGCUCUGUGUAGGCUGGAGGGAGAAGUGGGCAGCAGGAAGGACUAUUGAAAGGAGGGAGCCGAGCAGGCACAGAAGGAAGCUACACUGAGAUUGAAAGCUGCAGUAAAAGUUUCAAGCAAGACCAGCCAUGUCCCUGAACAUGAGAAGGUGUUUUGACCAUGGCUUCAGGAAUGGAACUCAUACGCCUGCACACUGCUCGUCUAGGGAGUGCUUGGCUGUGCUUACCUGUAUUAGGAUUGUUUCUGACAUCCUCCCACACCAAGAUUUUAUCUUCCUCUUGAAAUAAUAAAACAGCUAGGGAAUGUUUGAAUUCAUGA